This 1437-nucleotide ribosomal RNA is filed under the name Enterococcus durans. Its description in RNAcentral is "bacterial SSU rRNA". It matches the Rfam family "Bacterial small subunit ribosomal RNA". Lineage: Bacteria; Bacillati; Bacillota; Bacilli; Lactobacillales; Enterococcaceae. The record is from RNAcentral.
AUGCAAGUCGUACGCUUCUUUUUCCACCGGAGCUUGCUCCACCGGAAAAAGAAGAGUGGCGAACGGGUGAGUAACACGUGGGUAACCUGCCCAUCAGAAGGGGAUAACACUUGGAAACAGGUGCUAAUACCGUAUAACAAUCGAAACCGCAUGGUUUUGAUUUGAAAGGCGCUUUCGGGUGUCGCUGAUGGAUGGACCCGCGGUGCAUUAGCUAGUUGGUGAGGUAACGGCUCACCAAGGCCACGAUGCAUAGCCGACCUGAGAGGGUGAUCGGCCACAUUGGGACUGAGACACGGCCCAAACUCCUACGGGAGGCAGCAGUAGGGAAUCUUCGGCAAUGGACGAAAGUCUGACCGAGCAACGCCGCGUGAGUGAAGAAGGUUUUCGGAUCGUAAAACUCUGUUGUUAGAGAAGAACAAGGAUGAGAGUAACUGUUCAUCCCUUGACGGUAUCUAACCAGAAAGCCACGGCUAACUACGUGCCAGCAGCCGCGGUAAUACGUAGGUGGCAAGCGUUGUCCGGAUUUAUUGGGCGUAAAGCGAGCGCAGGCGGUUUCUUAAGUCUGAUGUGAAAGCCCCCGGCUCAACCGGGGAGGGUCAUUGGAAACUGGGAGACUUGAGUGCAGAAGAGGAGAGUGGAAUUCCAUGUGUAGCGGUGAAAUGCGUAGAUAUAUGGAGGAACACCAGUGGCGAAGGCGGCUCUCUGGUCUGUAACUGACGCUGAGGCUCGAAAGCGUGGGGAGCAAACAGGAUUAGAUACCCUGGUAGUCCACGCCGUAAACGAUGAGUGCUAAGUGUUGGAGGGUUUCCGCCCUUCAGUGCUGCAGCUAACGCAUUAAGCACUCCGCCUGGGGAGUACGACCGCAAGGUUGAAACUCAAAGGAAUUGACGGGGGCCCGCACAAGCGGUGGAGCAUGUGGUUUAAUUCGAAGCAACGCGAAGAACCUUACCAGGUCUUGACAUCCUUUGACCACUCUAGAGAUAGAGCUUCCCCUUCGGGGGCAAAGUGACAGGUGGUGCAUGGUUGUCGUCAGCUCGUGUCGUGAGAUGUUGGGUUAAGUCCCGCAACGAGCGCAACCCUUAUUGUUAGUUGCCAUCAUUUAGUUGGGCACUCUAGCAAGACUGCCGGUGACAAACCGGAGGAAGGUGGGGAUGACGUCAAAUCAUCAUGCCCCUUAUGACCUGGGCUACACACGUGCUACAAUGGGAAGUACAACGAGUCGCGAAGUCGCGAGGCUAAGCUAAUCUCUUAAAGCUUCUCUCAGUUCGGAUUGUAGGCUGCAACUCGCCUACAUGAAGCCGGAAUCGCUAGUAAUCGCGGAUCAGCACGCCGCGGUGAAUACGUUCCCGGGCCUUGUACACACCGCCCGUCACACCACGAGAGUUUGUAACACCCGAAGUCGGUGAGGUAACCUUUUGGAGCCAGCCGCCUAAGGUG